RNAcentral lists this transfer RNA (68 nucleotides) under Tetrancistrum nebulosi. RNAcentral's name for it is "tRNA-Trp". Lineage: Eukaryota; Metazoa; Platyhelminthes; Monogenea; Dactylogyridea; Ancyrocephalidae. The record is from RNAcentral.
GACCAGUUAGUUUAUUUAUAGAACACAUGUCUUCAAAACAUGGGGAGGCAUUUGUGUGCCACAGGUUG